Molecule: RNA transcript, 1486 nt
Organism: Nomia melanderi (Alkali bee)
Lineage: Eukaryota; Metazoa; Arthropoda; Insecta; Hymenoptera; Halictidae
Source: RefSeq, a predicted model, not a curated record
UCAUGUCUGCAGAAAUUAUAUAUAACUUUUUAUUAACAGUUAUAAACAAGUUAUAAACAAGUAGAUAUUUGUUCAAUCUUGCACUUUAACUGUUACUCAUACGCCAAACGUUUAAAUUACAUUAUUAUUACAGGUUAUGUUUACGUUUGCACAAUAGAAAUGAUGUGUAAUAACAGUAAUCACUGGAACGUUGUUUAAUUAAUGAGAAAUUAGUAACUUCAUAUUUAACGUCAUAAUUUAUAAUAAAACAGUUUAUUUGAAUUUCCAUUCAUGUAUAUAAGUUGAUAAGAAUACACACAAUGAAUUUUAGGAAGAUUACUUGAUGUCUAACGAGACGUCACGGGGGUAAGACGGGUAUUUCCCUGUGUGUUUUGUUUGUAGUUUUGAUUGGUUAUGUGUAAUCGUAUUGACGAAUAGUAAAUUAGCACCACAAGAAGGAUGAGAACUGACCAAUCAGACCCACAUUCCUCAGCCUAGCCGUCAAGUGAUCUCCCAGCAGUACUUAUCAACUAUAAUCGCAAAUAACACAAUGAUGUUCUUAUAAUUUUUCAACCGUACAAUCGCGCUAACGUGAUUCGCUUUAGAUUGGUUGAUUACUUGACCUUCUGCACGGUAAAGUGGCAACUCACGUCGGAUAGGUAUGUGGUAUUAAAAAAUCGCCCGACGAUGCGCAGUCGAAGUUUAAUGCGGAACUGCCACUUUCUGAACUCAGAUGCGCCAAGUGCCAAUCAGUGUUUUCCAGAAAGAUGUCGCUUAAUGUGAAUUCUGAAGAUACUGAUUGGUUAAUGCGCAUUUUUUCUCGUGAACAACCUGUAAUAAGUACCAAUCUCGGGAAGCCCCUAGAGCAGAGCUGUCUAACUUACUCUCCUCACACUAGUAACUUGAAAACAGCGUCCCCCUACUACUUCUACUUAACACGUUCGCUAUCAGCGCUUAUUUCGGAUUACGGCCGUCACAAAUGUGUGACGCUGGGCGAACAUGUCACAGAGCUGCCCGAGACUGCGUAUUGAAAAACUUCAGACUUCAAAGGGUUUGUAGCGGCUAACAAGCACGACAUAAAGAAACAUUUGGCGUGCAAACAGCUAGUAUGGUUUAUGACAAGCAGACGGCCUCAGUAGCAAAUUGCAGAUGUUAUAAACCAUGAAUUUUCGAAGGGAUGCAAGGCAUGGUCAAGCGAUCCUCGGCGAGUGACGUCACGAGGCUUGGGCGCGGAGGAAAUACCGCUGCGUUGCCAAACUUCCACUAAGGAAUACUCCCCACCAAAGCGCACUGUCUUUCCACAAAGAACGCGCUAAGGGCGCAAGGAAUAGGCGGUGAUUGAAAAUCAUCGGAAGUACCUGAUUGGUUAACGCCAAUGUGCUGUUUAACCAAUUAGGGAAAAUUCACCAUUUUGCCCUAUGUGAAGCAGGGAUAAAAAGACACUCGUAGUCAGUCGUAGUCAGUCGUAGUCAGUCGUAGUCAGUCGUAGUCAGUCGUAGUCAGUCGU